GACGAACGCUGGCGGCGUGCCUAAUACAUGCAAGUUGAGCGAUGAAGAUUGGUGCUUGCACCAAUUUGAAGAGCAGCGAACGGGUGAGUAACGCGUGGGGAAUCUGCCUUUGAGCGGGGGACAACAUUUGGAAACGAAUGCUAAUACCGCAUAACAACUUUAAACAUAAGUUUUAAGUUUGAAAGAUGCAAUUGCAUCACUCAAAGAUGAUCCCGCGUUGUAUUAGCUAGUUGGUGAGGUAAAGGCUCACCAAGGCGAUGAUACUUAGCCGACCUGAGAGGGUGAUCGGCCACAUUGGGACGGAGACACGGCCCAAACGCCUACGGGAGGCAGCAGUAGGGAAUCUUCGGCAAUGGACGAAAGUCUGACCGAGCAACGCCGCGUGAGUGAAGAAGGUUGUCGGAUCGUAAAACUCUGUUGGUAGAGAAGAACGUUGGUGAGAGUGGAAAGCUCAUCAAGUGACGGUAACUACCCAGAAAGGGACGGCUAACUACGUG
RNAcentral lists this ribosomal RNA (497 nucleotides) under uncultured bacterium. RNAcentral describes it as "partial 16S ribosomal RNA". It matches the Rfam family "Bacterial small subunit ribosomal RNA", at positions 28 to 507 of the family's 1533-position model. The record is from RNAcentral.